CACGUAGGCGGAAUAGUAAGUUAGGGGUGAAAUCCCGGGGCUCAACCUCGGAACUGCCCUUGAUACUGCUAAUCUCGAGUCCGAGAGAGGUGAGUGGAAUUCCUAGUGUAGAGGUGAAAUUCGUAGAUAUUAGGAAGAACACCAGUGGCGAAGGCGGCUCACUGGCUCGGUACUGACGCUGAGGUGCGAAAGCGUGGGGAGCAAACA
Molecule: ribosomal RNA, 207 nt
Filed under: uncultured bacterium
Lineage: Bacteria
Description: partial 16S ribosomal RNA
Rfam family: Bacterial small subunit ribosomal RNA
Source: RNAcentral